Molecule: unclassified non-coding RNA, 381 nt
Filed under: soil metagenome
Description: partial contains 5.8S ribosomal RNA, internal transcribed spacer 2, and large subunit ribosomal RNA
Rfam family: 5.8S ribosomal RNA (bases 1-120)
Source: RNAcentral
GAUGAAGAACGCAGCGAAGUGCGAUAAGUAAUGUGAAUUGCAGAAUUCCGUGAAUCAUCGAAUCUUUGAACGCAAAUUGCACUUUCUGGUAUUCCGGAGAGUAUGCCUGUUUGAGGGUCAGUGUAAUAAAUAAAUCGUGGUUGUUACCACCUUUCGUGGUGACGCUUCGGAAUUGAGUCGUCUUUACCCUUCGGGUUAAAGUGACUUAAAAUUUUUUCAUACGAUUUCGAAACGUAUUUAAUGUAUUAUGUACGUUCACGAAUAUCGAAUGUUUUAUUAGGUGCGGUCAUUUUUCAUGAAUUCGCGUCUAUAAUUUUUUUUUUUUGACCUCAAAUCAGGUAAGAAUACCCGCUGAACUUAAGCAUAUCAAUAAGCGGAGGA